GCCGAAGUGGCGGAAUGGCAGACGCGCUGCGUUCAGGGCGCAGUGUCCGAAAGGGCGUGGGGGUUCAAAUCCCCCCUUCGGCACCA
Molecule: transfer RNA, 86 nt
Filed under: Dehalococcoidia bacterium
Lineage: Bacteria; Bacillati; Chloroflexota; Dehalococcoidia
Description: tRNA-Leu
Rfam family: tRNA
About the family: Transfer RNA (tRNA) molecules are approximately 80 nucleotides in length. Their secondary structure includes four short double-helical elements and three loops (D, anti-codon, and T loops).
Source: RNAcentral